This 253-nucleotide ribosomal RNA is filed under the name uncultured bacterium. Its description in RNAcentral is "partial 16S ribosomal RNA". It matches the Rfam family "Bacterial small subunit ribosomal RNA", at positions 524 to 776 of the family's 1533-position model. The record is from RNAcentral.
UACGGAGGGUGCAAGCGUUAUCCGGAUUCACUGGGUUUAAAGGGUGCGUAGGCGGGUAAGUAAGUCCGGGGUGAAAUCUCUGAGCUUAACUCAGAAACUGCCGUGGAUACUAUUUGUCUUGAAUAUUGUGGAGGUGAGCGGAAUAUGUCAUGUAGCGGUGAAAUGCUUAGAUAUGACAUAGAACACCAAUUGCGAAGGCAGCUCACUACACAAUCAUUGACGCUGAGGCACGAAAGCGUGGGGAGCAAACAGG